CGCCGGGGUGGCCGAGCGGUCUAAGGCGGCGGGCUGCAGAAACCCGUUUUAUCGCGGGUUCAAAUCCCGCCCCCGGC
This 77-nucleotide transfer RNA is filed under the name Fervidicoccus fontis Kam940. Its description in RNAcentral is "tRNA-Cys". It matches the Rfam family "tRNA". From Rfam's summary of the family: Transfer RNA (tRNA) molecules are approximately 80 nucleotides in length. Their secondary structure includes four short double-helical elements and three loops (D, anti-codon, and T loops). The record is from RNAcentral. Lineage: Archaea; Thermoproteati; Thermoproteota; Thermoprotei; Fervidicoccales; Fervidicoccaceae.